RNAcentral lists this non-coding RNA (880 nucleotides) under Rhinella crucifer (striped toad). RNAcentral describes it as "partial 12S ribosomal RNA". It matches the Rfam family "Bacterial small subunit ribosomal RNA", at positions 256 to 1522 of the family's 1533-position model. Lineage: Eukaryota; Metazoa; Chordata; Amphibia; Anura; Bufonidae. The record is from RNAcentral.
AGUAUCCGCUCCCCUGUGAGAACGCCCUUUAACCCCUUCUAGGGACAAGGAGCUGGUAUCAGGCACGAAAAUCUGCCCAAAACACCUAGCCACGCCACACCCACAAGGGAAUUCAGCAGUGAUUAACAUUGAGUAUUAGCGUAAGCUUGACUCAGUUAAAGUAAGACAGAGCCGGCUAAUCUGGUGCCAGCCGCCGCGGUUACACCACGUGGCUCAAAUUGACCCCCUCCGGCGUAAAGCGUGAUUAAAGUUAUUCCUUUCUAGAGUUAAACUAAAACUAAGCUGUGACACGCCUGUUUAUUAAGAAACCCAAAAACGAAAGUCACUCUAAUAUAAUCAACUUGAACUCACGACAGCUGGGGAACAAACUGGGAUUAGAUACCCCACUAUGCCCAGCCGUAAACUUUAACUUACAUUCAAAUCGCCAGGGAACUACGAGCUAAGCUUAAAACCCAAAGGACUUGACGGUACCCCAUAUCCCCCUAGAGGAGCCUGUUCUAUAAUCGAUAAUCCACGUUUAACCUCACCAUUUUUAGUUAAUCAGCCUGUAUACCUCCGUCGUCAGCUUACCACGUGAGCGCCAAUUAGUGAGCUUAAUGUCUUUCACCAACACGUCAGGUCAAGGUGCAGCAAAUGAAAUGGGAAGAGAUGGGCUACACUUUCUAUAUUAGAAAAAACGAAAAACUACUUAUGAAAACUAGUUGGAAGGCGGAUUUAGCAGUAAAAAGGAAUCAGAAUGUCCCUUUUAACCCGGCACUGGGGUGUGUACACACCGCCCGUCACCCUCUUCAAAGCUUAUAACCUAGUUCUUAACAAACUAAAGCAUAACAGAAUAGGCAAGUCGUAACAUGGUAAGUAUACCGGAAGGUGUGCUUGGAAA